GUCUAAUUAAACUGUGUUUUUUUUCCGUUACUAAAUUUUGCUCUAUUUUCUGGUUCUUCUCGAGGCAAAAUUUUGGCAAGCAAAUUUUUCUCGACAAUGUUAACGCUGGAUUCCAAAAGUGGAAGAUUUUCUUGCUCCGCGCCAUCUUGCUUGUCUUCUCCUUACAUUGAAUUUUAUAGUUCAAGAAUGUUUUUUCGGAUGCCAAUUCUGUGCUGUGGCCAGGGAAUAUCUUUGUAUGCAUACCCUCAAUAAUUGAGUGAAUAUACUCACUCUUAAUCC
Molecule: long non-coding RNA, 279 nt
Filed under: Linum usitatissimum (flax)
Lineage: Eukaryota; Viridiplantae; Streptophyta; Magnoliopsida; Malpighiales; Linaceae
Description: long non-coding RNA (LUSI_LNC000881)
Source: RNAcentral